GCGGAAUGCUUUACACAUGCAAGUCGAACGGCAGCACGGGUACUUGUACCUGGUGGCGAGUGGCGAACGGGUGAGUAAUAUAUCGGAACGUAUCCAUUAAUGGGGGAUAACUAAUCGAAAGGUUGGCUAAUACCGCAUACGUCCUACGGGAGAAAGCAGGGGAUCUUCGGACCUUGCGUUAAUGGAGCGGCCGAUAUCUGAUUAGCUAGUUGGUGAGGUAAAAGCUCACCAAGGCGACGAUCAGUAGCUGGUCUGAGAGGACGACCAGCCACACUGGAACUGAGACACGGUCCAGACUCCUACGGGAGGCAGCAGUGGGGAAUUUUGGACAAUGGGCGAAAGCCUGAUCCAGCCAUUCCGCGUGAGUGAAGAAGCCUUCGGGUUGUAAAGCUCUUUCGCAAGGGAAGAAAACUUACUUUCUAAUAAAGAGUGAGGCUGACGGUACCUUGAUAAGAAGCACCGGCUAACUACGUGCCA
Molecule: ribosomal RNA, 477 nt
Filed under: uncultured Methylophilaceae bacterium
Lineage: Bacteria; Pseudomonadati; Pseudomonadota; Betaproteobacteria; Nitrosomonadales; Methylophilaceae
Description: bacterial SSU rRNA
Rfam family: Bacterial small subunit ribosomal RNA
Source: RNAcentral